Molecule: ribosomal RNA, 119 nt
Filed under: Ricinus communis (castor bean)
Lineage: Eukaryota; Viridiplantae; Streptophyta; Magnoliopsida; Malpighiales; Euphorbiaceae
Source: RNAcentral
GGGUGCGAUCAUACCAGCACUAAUGCACCGGAUCCCAUCAGAACUACGAAGUUAAACGUGCUUUGGCGAGAGUAGUACUAAGAUGGGUGACCUCUUGGGAAGUCCUCGUGUUGCACCUC